RNAcentral lists this ribosomal RNA (227 nucleotides) under uncultured fungus. RNAcentral's name for it is "partial 18S ribosomal RNA". It matches the Rfam family "Eukaryotic small subunit ribosomal RNA", at positions 1045 to 1272 of the family's 1831-position model. The record is from RNAcentral. Lineage: Eukaryota; Fungi.
ACUAGGGAUCGGGCGAUGUUAUCUUUUUGACUCGCUCGGAUCUUACGAGAAAUCAAGGUCUUUGGGUACUGGGGGGAGUAUGGUCGCAAGGCUGAAACUUAAAGAAAUUGACGGAAGGGCACCACCAGGAGUGGAGCCUGCGGGUUAAUUUGACUCAACACGGGGAAACUCACCAGGUCCAGACACAAUAAGGAUUGACAGAUUGAGAGCUCUUUCUUGAUUUUAUG